Molecule: ribosomal RNA, 315 nt
Filed under: uncultured eukaryote
Lineage: Eukaryota
Description: partial 18S ribosomal RNA
Rfam family: Eukaryotic small subunit ribosomal RNA
Source: RNAcentral
CCCUUAGACGUUCUGGGCCGCACGCGCGCUACACUGACCAGUGCAACAAGCAUCCGUCCUUGGCCGACAGGCCCGGGCAAUCUUUGAACGCUGGACGUGAUGGGGAUAGACUUUUGCAAUUUUUGGUCUUCAACGAGGAAUUCCUAGUAAACGCAAGUCAUCAACUUGCAUUGAUUACGUCCCUGCCCUUUGUACACACCGCCCGUCGCACCUACCGAUUGAAUGGUCCGGUGAAGCCUCCGGAUUGGCGCGCACCUCGGUGCCGCCGAGAAGUUGGCUAAACCUUACCAUUUAGAGGAAGGUGAAGUCGUAACA